CCUACGGGAGGCAGCAGUAAGGAAUAUUGGUCAAUGGAGGCAACUCUGAACCAGCCAUGCCGCGUGCAGGAAGAAGGCCCUAUGGGUCGUAAACUGCUUUUGUACCAGAGAAAACCCGAGUACGUGUACUCGGUUGAUAGUAUGGUAAGAAUAAGCAUCGGCUAACUUCGUGCCAGCAGCCGCGGUAAGACGAAGGAUGCAAGCGUUAUCCGGAUUCAUUGGGUUUAAAGGGUGCGUAGGCGGACUGAUAAGUCAGUGGUGAAAUCUCUCGGCUUAACCGAGAAACUGCCAUUGAUACUGUUAGUCUAGAGUAUAGAUGACGUUGGCGGAAUAUGACAUGUAGUGGUGAAAUACUUAGAUAUGUCAUAGAACACCGAUUGCGAAGGCAGCUAACGAAACUAUAACUGACGCUGAGCGACGAAGUAGCGGGAGUACAACAAGAGUAGUAUACCUACGGUACGUACCGCGACCGUAACGAACGUAGUAUUACUUACGUUCGUUGGUCGUAUAUAGUACCGUCGACGCGACCGACGACGAACGACGAGUAAGUAAUACCUACCGUACGGGGUAGGUACGGCCCGGCCGACCGGUACGGAAACGUAACCGAAACGUAAAGUUAGUACGGACGUAGAGGACGUACGACCGACGGACGGACCGACCGACGGGGAGGGGAGGGAGG
Molecule: ribosomal RNA, 679 nt
Filed under: uncultured bacterium
Lineage: Bacteria
Description: bacterial SSU rRNA
Rfam family: Bacterial small subunit ribosomal RNA (bases 1-520)
Source: RNAcentral